UUUAUUUUCGGACCAUCCCGCCAGAAUACCAGCUGCAAGAAGACCAAGACCUCGUCUGUCCUGAUUCCUGCAGAGACCCUAGGACAGCGCCUAGCACCCAAGAGGCACUUAUUUCGUGUUUAUUGAAUGGACCAAGACUCUGCGAAUUGGCCAACCAGAGCCUGGCCAAAGAGCAGUGUGGCUGGCUGAGCGUGGGUGUGUGAAGAGGAGACUCUGCUGCCCAGAGGGACAGGGAGAGAGUAGCCACUCCACCUGCAUUCCAACCUUGAGGAACCGUGUGGCCGCGGAGGAGCCACAGCCCUCGGCUUUCUGUUUCACUAGAUGGGAACCGUUAGGCUUGCUCUCAGGACCGUCUAGAAGAUUGAAUAAUAUCGUAGCGAGUUCCCAGGACAGACCCAAGAUUCCCAGAAUGUCAGCACUGGAAGAAACGUCAGAGACCAUUUAGCCUGGCUCCUGAUUUGGCAGAGGGGGACACCAAGGGCAAUGGGCUGUCCAUAUUUCACUGUGUUCCCUCCCAGCACUCAUUUAAGAGGUUAUGAAUCUUCAGCCCUCAGAUCUUAAUGCUGCCUGGAUCAUCUUAACUCCAGGGGAGAAGUCUGGCUUCCAAGGUGGACUUCAAGGCAGCAGUGAGGCUGCAGAUAGGGUCUGAGGGCCUGCUGGGAACUGGCCAUGUGCAGAGGACAAAACAGUCCUUCCCUGCCAGGGUACUGAGCGACCCACACAAUGAAACCCUGUGAGCAUCCCCACUCCCCUUAAGAGCCCAUUAAGAUGAUGCAUUAGGUCAUCCAGGGAUUUACCUAGAGCAUAUUUUUAACUCCAGUUGACAGCUACUGCAUCUGCCUGGCCAGGGAGCCUUCUCCCUUCUGGUAACUGCACGCUUCUUUGCUUUAUGGGAACAGUCCCCCUCCAGGGGUUCCAAUAGGGCUGUCGUCAAUCAGAGGGCUCUAAGGGUCCUGCUACCGGGCUGGGUUUUUGUGACCCAGAUCCAAUUUGGUCAGUGGUCCGUGAUAGUCAUGUGACCCAAACCGUCCUUUUAGGAGAGUAAGAUAAAUACCCAGGGGAGAGACGGUGUUCCUGGCUUCUCUGAGGCAAGCUGUGGGGUGACGCAAGCCCAGCACUGGCAGAAGCUCAGCUGCCACAAGGAGAAAGGCUUCCCGAGAAAGCUGUCAGCACAACGGAGAACAGAACCUAGGACAGGAUCCAGAGCCACGGGCCAAGGCCAGCGAUGAGCCUCCGGACCCCUAGGUGUAGUUCGGGUUGGAUUUCUUCAUGUGCUGAAGUGCUUCUGCCUGAGGCCACUGAAUCCACAUUGUCUUCCGAGGUUAUAAGUCCCAGUGACUCCCUGCCACAGGCAAGUGCACCUCUUUGCAGGAAGGAUCCUAAACUGACCAUGUUAGUGAUGUGGGGAGCUCAAACUCAGGGCUGUGAAUGCUAGGCAAGUGCUCCAGCCCKAGCCACAGCCCCAGUCCCUAAGCUGACCCUUAAGCUUCAAGAGAAUAUCUUCAUUCUGAUUAAUGUAUUUGGAGCCUUCCCUCUGCCAGGUGGGUAGGUGUUCAGUCAUUUAGUUACCCCAACAAUUUUUUUGAAAAGUGUUUUUUUUUUUAUUGUUAGCCCUAAUUUAGAGAUAAAGAAACUGAGGCUUCUAAUGGUCAAGUACCUUCACUUAGUAACUGAAUG
Molecule: long non-coding RNA, 1677 nt
Organism: Urocitellus parryii (Arctic ground squirrel)
Lineage: Eukaryota; Metazoa; Chordata; Mammalia; Rodentia; Sciuridae
Source: RefSeq, a predicted model, not a curated record